Molecule: long non-coding RNA, 770 nt
Filed under: Olea europaea subsp. europaea
Lineage: Eukaryota; Viridiplantae; Streptophyta; Magnoliopsida; Lamiales; Oleaceae
Source: RNAcentral
AAUUGUUCCAAUGGUCAUUGAAUUUUGGCCUAAAUAAUAUUUUUGGCAUUUUUUUAUACAAGCGGCCGGCGUGGGUGGGGUUUUGGUCUUCUUUUUAUACAAGCGGUCCCGCGUGGGACCGCCUGCUGUGAGUGUGUGUACGCACAGCAUAAUUGAUUCAUUUAAGCGACGCCCAGAAGGAUGAACGCCACUUUCUUGAUCAUCAUCCUCUCCAUUACAGAAACCAGAUUAUGUAUCCCAGACUAAUUUUAUUAAAAUGUGCAACUUUACUGUUGUUAAUUUUCUGCAGGAUGACUUUAUCACAAAAUGUCAUUGAAACUCUGCCAGGGUAUCCUGGCAAACUUCCAUUCAGACUUGAAACUGGGUGAGCUUCUCUAUUUCAUUUUCCUCCGACAAAAUAAGCAGUUAUCUGAUGUUCUUUUGCAGUUACGUCGGUAUAGGAGAAUCGGAAGAAGUGCAGCUAUUUUAUUAUUUCAUCGAGUCUGAAAGGAACCCAAAAGAUGAUCCCUUAAUGAUUUGGCUCACUGGAGGCCCGGCUUGCUCUGGUCUCUCAGGUCUUAUAUAUGAGAUGGGUAUGUUUCGGGUCUUUAUACUGUUUUUGGCUCAAAAUUGAAUUUGCUAUUAACCGUCAAAGUAAAAAAGUUUGUCCCUUCUCUCACCGCUGACGCUUUUUGAUGGGUGAUUAAAGCAAGUGGAGGGUUGAUUUGAAAUCUUACUUCAACCUAUUUAUGAAAAUCAUGUAGAUCAUUAGGCCUUUGAUAAAAAUAAUU